GGUAUUGAGAUACCAGCUGGUUGCAUCGUUGAUCUCCAAACGAUAUUCAGGCUUCGACAUGACAGGACUUCGAUGGCUCACAUGGCAGUUGCCUUGAUCGACGAGUCAUAUGGUGAUAUGAAGACCAGUUUCCCAAAGUCUCAACACAGACUUUGGGAGAAGGGCCCACUUGAUGAUAUCAACAUUGAGUAUGCAGCAAAAGUUGCAUACGUUUCAUACGAGUUGUACCGCAAGAUUCGAGUCAUGAACUAUGGCCAGCGUCACCUCGAGGAACGUGGACAUUCUGAUUUAGAUGAUUCAGACGAGUAGUGUUCUUAACGUCGAACACUUGUAUAUAUAUCUAUGGUAGCUAUUAUUAUGUACUGUUUGGACUAGUAUCAUGUACUGCUUGGACCAAUU
This 399-nucleotide long non-coding RNA is filed under the name Hordeum vulgare. RNAcentral's name for it is "long non-coding RNA (HVUL_LNC002107)". The record is from RNAcentral. Lineage: Eukaryota; Viridiplantae; Streptophyta; Magnoliopsida; Poales; Poaceae.